This is a long non-coding RNA of Quercus robur (English oak), 388 nucleotides long. RefSeq lists it as uncharacterized. The transcript is spliced from 4 exons. The record is from RefSeq and is a predicted model, not a curated record. NCBI's taxonomy places the organism in Eukaryota, Viridiplantae, Streptophyta, Magnoliopsida, Fagales, Fagaceae.
UGCAACAGUGGAAACCUCUGUUCGUUCUCUGCAACAGACGAUUUAGAAACUAUCCCGUCUCUGCUCUUUAACAACAAACAAUUCAAAAGGUUUAUCAUCUCUGUUUUGGAUUUUAAGACCUUUUUUUUACUAUUCAAGAAGAACUGCUGAAUUAAAUAAAGAGAUUUAUAUCGCAAUGAAGUACAAAACUUUGAAGCAAAUAUCAGUGAAUAUGGGAUGUAGUUAACAUAGCAAACAACUAUGAUCUGAUCAACAUUGCUAUGAUUUCGGUUGACUAAUAGUGGGUAUUCUUUACUUAGGGAUCCCCAGUACAACAAAGGACUUACCAAUGCUUUGGUCAUUCAGUUGACUCCUUGAUGCCAGUCCGUACUUGCUGUCAUGCUAACAA